Long non-coding RNA from Gallus gallus (chicken), 2207 nucleotides. RefSeq lists it as uncharacterized. The record is from RefSeq and is a predicted model, not a curated record. The transcript is spliced from 2 exons. Lineage: Eukaryota; Metazoa; Chordata; Aves; Galliformes; Phasianidae.
ACAAGAUGCAGGCAGGAAAGCUUUGCACAGGCAAUGCUGGCUGCUGCCAGAUUUGGUCUAUAUUUAUCCUAUUUCACAGCAGGAUUUAACAUCAUGGUGAAUGUUACUGAUCCUCCUAAGGCUAUCUUCAUGGCUGCCAGUGUCACAGAACUUGGAGCUGACUCAUCACUGUGAUGACAGUGAACAUGUUUUGGAAUGAAAUAAUGAUGAUGGGACAAGCUCCUUCUUACUUGUUUAUCCACUCUGGCUGCCAGAGCUAAGCCUCAUUUGAACUCAUCUGAACCAUUCUGGGCUGUGCACCACUCCUGAGGACACGGAGCCAUUUCUUUACAAAACAUGAAGGGAUUGCUUUGAAUUUCCACGAGCUCUCUUGUCAGCUCUUCCUCCUUUUUUUUUUCUCAGCAAAACGAACCAGCCUUCACUGCAGUGUUUUCCCCUGAUGCUGUCACACCUAAGCUGCAUAAAUGAUAGUUUUUCUUCCAAGGUUUUCUGUCUGAGCGACAUGUGGUAUGAUAAGGAUAUCCUUUCCUCCCUAAGUUCUCAUCUCUGCGUACACUCUCUCCCCAAAUCAUUUGGGAUUUCUGGAGGAAAUCGUCAGAACAUCACAACUAUAUUUAUUCCUUGACACUGAGAAACAUCUUUAAAAACAGCAGAAAAUAGGAGAUGUGUCUGUACUUAAGUUGUGAAGAGAGAAGGGCAAGAGUGAGCAAUGCAGAACCUCUUCAUGCUAGCAGCAACAACUGUGCUUUUCUGGACAGAAAGUCUUUCCUGGCCAUUUAUUCUGGAGCAUUUUACAGUUUGGAGGGCCAGCAGAGAGGAAGGCAUUUCUUAUGUCUGGAAAUUGGUAAGGCAGUGGUGGUGUUUUACAGAGUCCACGCUUUCAACUCUGCCUUGUGAUCCUGUGAUGUUCUUGUUUGCAUUUUAGCAAAAUCAAAUCUCUACAUCUUGAGAUGGGCACAGUAUGACAAUAUAGACUCCUAAAUGUUUUAGCACUUUGAAUUCUCAGCCCUGUUUAAAAAAAAAAAAACUGUGAUAAUGUCAUUAAAGAUAAUUCCUUUAUGAACAUUAAAGCCACUGAUGAAUGCAGUCCCACUCUCCACAGCCUUGCAGUACAUCACCCUUCAGCUGGUAGCCCUGUCCGUCCCUACAGCAGUGAGAAAAGUAGAUACAUCAGGAGCAAAUUAGUUUGGCAGGGCAGGGAAGGCAGGAUGGAGCUUCCAUGCAUUGGAGGUGGAGGCAGGCACAGGCUGCAAAGGAGGCAUUUAGAAAUAUUGCCUGGGUGUGUAGGGAUAUGUCAGGAAAGCCCGAUGGCACUUGGAUUUGAGACUUGCAAAGAACAUCAUGGGCAACAAGUAGAGCUUCUACUACUGGAUUAGCAAUAGUCCAAAUAAGGAACAUGUGAGCCAUUUGCUGAGUGGGGUGAGUGAUGCAGCAACAGCAGGCAAUGAGACUGAAGAACUUGAUGCUUUCUUUGCUUCUGUCAGCAGGGUCUCUUGAGCCUCUCUGCCUAGGGAAGGUGUUCAAGGAGAAAAACAACCAGCAGUGGAUAAGUAUCUAUUGAGGGACUGCUUCUAUGACAAUUUGGUCCACACAAGUCCAUGGAAUGAGACAGGAUGCACCUGAAAGAGCUGAGAGAAUUGGAUGAUGCCCUUGUAAGGCUGCUUUUAAUUUUCUGUAUUAAUACAAAUCAAUAAUAAUCCAGUCCAUGUGUAAUUCAGCUCUGUUCACGUGAGCUACGCCCUUACUUUCCAUAAUGCAGAUGAGAACACUGCAGCUCUGCUGUUUGUUUGAUGCAACUGCCCUGCUCAGAAGCCCACCUCAGGACAGCACCAUCUCCCCAUAACUACUCUCUUCACAUGAACUUUUCAAGGUCACUGACUGCCUGAGCAACUCUUUUAUGCAAUUUCCUACCAUUAAGUACAGUAGAAGCAAGUCAGCCUUGGUACUUUAUUUAUAGAUCCUGGAGUUCUUGCAUUCUAUUAACCAGGGCAGAAAUGGGAUGAAUUUUUUAUCCAUUAUGGACCUUGUGCUGCAUAAAAUAUUGUGCAUUUUUGCAGGAGGCUCUACUGUUUUAACCUUUGACACGUAAUUAAUGAUUCAGCUACUGGUGUUCUACAGAUGUCUUGUAUAAGGCUUGUGUGGUGUAUGUGUAUUUAUCCACUUCGUAUUCAUUCAAUAUAUUAAAUUGACUUUGUUUGUAAUGAGAA